RNAcentral lists this long non-coding RNA (1726 nucleotides) under Marmota monax (woodchuck). The record is from RNAcentral. Lineage: Eukaryota; Metazoa; Chordata; Mammalia; Rodentia; Sciuridae.
GUCAUCCCACUGGUUGGAGGAGGUAGGUCACUAGGGAUGUGCCUUUGGGGUUUAUAUUUUGUCCCCAGUGAGCAGAGUUCUCUCUCUGCUUACUGGUUGUCAUGUUCCGAGCUCCUUUCCUACUCCACACCCUUUCACCUUGAUGUUCUGCAUUGCCUGGGGUCCAGAGCUGUGGAGUCAGCCCACCAUGGACUGAACCUGGGAAACCUUGAGCCAAAAUAAACUUUUCUUCUUCCAAAUUGUUCUUGUCAAGUAUUUUGGUCACAACAAUGAGAAGCUAACUAAAACAGGACAGCUCCCAGCAGGAAAAAGAUCAGAAAAGAUGUAAUGCCUCAGAUGCCUUUGUGCUCAUCACUGCCCCACCCUCUUUCUCUUCCAAAAAAGUAAUUAGAGUUUCUAACGGUUUAGAUAUGAGGUGUUUUGCUACCGAAACAUAGAUUUAAUUUAAACAUGGGGGGGGGGGGGUUCAAGGGAAAAAUUCCUGCUCCAUAAAUAUACAAAGCAGACUAUUUUCCGGAAAUCAAGUCUAGUCGGUUGAGUACAAGGUGUGUUCAAUGGGUUCAUAAUGUCACACAUGCCCCUUGGUUGAUCUACCAGUUCAUUGAGAGUGGCGAUGCACACUACAGGACACACUUCAAGGAUAAAUGCGGAUUGAAAGUUUAUAGAAUGAAUGUUGUUUAACGUCUCUCUGCUGGUAGUCAUUCAGUUCUGUGCGUGUGGACUCAUUUUUCUGUAAUCCAGCAAUGUCUGUCGGAUCCUGGGCAGCCAGGGAGCAUUCAACAGGUACAGUCGCUGGGCCCUGUGCUUUCUCCCAACCCAGCAGUUGACCAUUUUAGGUUAUGCAAUAUGAAUACAAGCAGAAUAAUACUAAAGCUAGACUUAUGAGGCUUAUUCCUAAGAAAUAUUUAGCUUUAUGAAACGCAAAAAAACCCCUUCAUUUUCAAUUAGACAUUCAUAUCCAUGUCUGUAAACGCAUUAACGGAAGACAUUCCUUUACAUUAAAGACAGAACUUUAGUCUUUGCAAAAGGAAAAGCUCCGUUUCCCUUAGAUUUUCUCAGCUCCUCCACUAUUUGCCUCAGACAAGGUUCAAGUUAUCUGUACUUCUGUGGGCGCCGUUGCAUUUAAAUCGCAGUCGGAAAAACCCUUCCCGGACUUUCUAACUCCACAGAACGCUAACUGGGCGCCAGGACGUCGCCCGCUUUCCCGUAAGCUGCCGAGCCGCCGAUGCCGGGCCCGCGCUGUGAUGUCACCCGGCUCGCGGGCCGCGGCGCGGGGAUUGGCCCGGGUCCAUGACGUCACGUGCCGGGGCGGCCCCGCACUGGCGAGGGCCCCGGGAUGCUCCUGUUCGUUUAAAAAUAAAGGGGUAGCGGGGCGGAGGAGAAGAACCGCCGGCCCGCGGAGUCACCCGCCGCCCCGCCAGGCGCCCCGCACCCCGGCCGCGCCAGCCUCGCCGGCGGCCCGAAAGAGGCGGGGGUAGGCGGGGCGGAGGAGGAGCCGCGGGCGCGGCGCCGCGCCGUCAGCGGCCGCCGCCCGCCCCCGUUACACACCGCAUGUAAACAGUCCCCGUCUGCGCGAGCCCAGGGACCCGCAGGGAGUCCGCCUGCCUGGCCCGCCGCCGCCCCGGACCCGCGCCUAGCGGAGCGUCGCGCCGUGCUGCCCGUCCGGGAGGAGGGCGCCGAGGAGCGAGGAGCCGCCGCCGCCCUCCGCCUCCCUCGCCCCUCCCGC